ACAGCAUCCUUAAGUAACUGCUCCAGUACCACCUCGGUGUGGCUUAGAGCAGCACCCAGCCUACUGCUCCUGCACUCAGGAGCGAGUGGGGCAGAGGGCAGAGAGGGAGGGUUUCAGAUACCCAGUGGCUUAUUUUCCAAUCGUACAGUGACUGACGACUAUGGGCUUCCUUUGAUGAGUCACUUGACGGCAGAAGACAGGAUGCUCAUGAACCUUUGUGGGUUGGCACGUGGUUCACUGGCAGCUAAGUGAAGAAAAGGUCUAAGGGAAAGCAGACGUCAGUACCAAGUCCCAUCUUUAAGGCACAGAUAGGUACCCUCAAAUAUGACUCAGAAAUCACCCGAUUAGAGGUCAAAGAUGACUUACGGGGCAGAACCACCAGCUUACCUUACUGUUCCCAGGGUUGGUGAACUUCGCAUGAAUUAGAGCAGAAGUAACUCUUGUCAAUAGCUACAGUUGUGUGCCGACCAAUAAACACUUAACAUGCUGUUUCCUCUUGACUCAUGUGGCUGAAAUGAAGCCCAGUCACUCUGAUUGUAGCAUGGACUUGUGUCUUGCAGGGACGUUGAGCAAC
This is a long non-coding RNA of Rattus rattus (black rat), 574 nucleotides long. RefSeq lists it as uncharacterized. The transcript is spliced from 3 exons. NCBI's taxonomy places the organism in Eukaryota, Metazoa, Chordata, Mammalia, Rodentia, Muridae. The record is from RefSeq and is a predicted model, not a curated record.